Molecule: ribosomal RNA, 421 nt
Filed under: uncultured Anaerovorax sp.
Lineage: Bacteria; Bacillati; Bacillota; Clostridia; Peptostreptococcales; Anaerovoracaceae
Description: bacterial SSU rRNA
Rfam family: Bacterial small subunit ribosomal RNA
Source: RNAcentral
UGGGGAAUAUUGCACAAUGGGGGAAACCCUGAUGCAGCAACGCCGCGUGAAGGAUGAAGGCCUUUGGGUCGUAAACUUCUGUCCUAAGGGAAGAUAAUGACGGUACCUUUGGAGGAAGCCCCGGCUAACUACGUGCCAGCAGCCGCGGUAAUACGUAGGGGGCGAGCGUUAUCCGGAAUUAUUGGGCGUAAAGAGUGCGUAGGCGGUUUCUUAAGCGCGGGGUGAAAGGCAGUGGCUUAACCACUGUUAGCCCUGCGAACUGGGAGACUUGAGUGCAGGAGAGGAAAGCGGAAUUCCUAGUGUAGCGGUGAAAUGCGUAGAUAUUAGGAGGAACACCAGUGGCGAAGGCGGCUUUCUGGACUGUAACUGACGCUGAGGCACGAAAGUGUGGGGAGCAAACAGGAUUAGAUACCCUGGUAGU